Molecule: ribosomal RNA, 253 nt
Filed under: uncultured bacterium
Lineage: Bacteria
Description: partial 16S ribosomal RNA
Rfam family: Bacterial small subunit ribosomal RNA
Source: RNAcentral
UACGGAGGGAGCUAGCGUUGUUCGGAAUUACUGGGCGUAAAGCGCACGUAGGCGGCUUUGUAAGUUAGAGGUGAAAGCCCGGGGCUCAACUCCGGAACUGCCUUUAAGACUGCAUCGCUUGAAUCCGGGAGAGGUGAGUGGAAUUCCGAGUGUAGAGGUGAAAUUCGUAGAUGUUCGGAAGAACACCAGUGGCGAAGGCGGCUCACUGGACCGGUAUUGACGCUGAGGUGCGAAAGCGUGGGGAGCGAACCGG